RNAcentral lists this ribosomal RNA (336 nucleotides) under Isosticta robustior. Its description in RNAcentral is "partial 12S ribosomal RNA". Lineage: Eukaryota; Metazoa; Arthropoda; Insecta; Odonata; Isostictidae. The record is from RNAcentral.
GUAUUAGUUAAGAUCUUGAAAUCCAAAGGAUUUGGCGGUAUUUUAGUCUUUUCAGAGGAAUCUGUCCCUUAAUCGACAAUCCACGAGAUUAAUUACUUUCUUUUGUUUUCAGUUUGUAUACCUCCGUCAUAAGGAUGUCCUUAUAGGGUUAAUUUUCUUGAUUAAUCAAUUUAAUUAUGUCAGGUCAAGGUGCAGUUUAUGAGAAAGUGGAGAUGGAUUACAAUAAAUUUAUUUAUAUGGAUAAAUGGUUUUGAAGCCGUUUUGAAGGUGGAUUUGUAAGUAAAAUUAUUUAUUAAUUUUUUUGAUUUUGGCUCUAAAAUAUGCACACAUCGCCCG